AGUGAACGCUGGCGGUAGGCCUAACACAUGCAAGUCGAACGGCAGCACAGGAGAGCUUGCUCUCUGGGUGGCGAGUGGCGGACGGGUGAGGAAUACAUCGGAAUCUACUUUUUCGUGGGGGAUAACGUAGGGAAACUUACGCUAAUACCGCAUACGACCUACGGGUGAAAGCAGGGGAUCUUCGGACCUUGCGCGAUCGAAUGAGCGGAUGUCGGAUUAGCUAGUUGGCGGGGUAAAGGCCCACCAAGGCGACGAUCCGUAGCUGGUCUGAGGAUGAUCAGCCACACUGGAACUGAGACACGGUCCAGACUCCUACGGGAGGCAGCAGUGGGGAAUAUUGGACAAUGGGCGCAAGCCUGAUCCAGCCAUACCGCGUGGGUGGAGAAGGCCUUCGGGUUGUAAAGCCCUUUUGUUGGGAAAGAAAUCCAGCUGGUUAAUACCCGGUUGGGAUGACGGUACCCAAAGAAUAAGCACCGGCUAACUUCGUGCCAGCCGCCGCCGUAA
RNAcentral lists this ribosomal RNA (504 nucleotides) under uncultured bacterium. Its description in RNAcentral is "partial 16S ribosomal RNA". It matches the Rfam family "Bacterial small subunit ribosomal RNA", at positions 29 to 523 of the family's 1533-position model. The record is from RNAcentral.